Non-coding RNA from Potamilus streckersoni, 77 nucleotides. NCBI's taxonomy places the organism in Eukaryota, Metazoa, Mollusca, Bivalvia, Unionida, Unionidae. The record is from the annotation of a GenBank genome assembly.
GACCGCUCCGGUGGCCUAGUGGAUAGAGCGUCCGCCUCGGCUGCGGGAGAUCGUGGGUUCAAUCCGUGGUCGAGUCA